GGAAUAUUGGACAAUGGGCGAAAGCCUGAUCCAGCAAUGCCGCGUGAGUGAUGAAGGCCUUAGGGUUGUAAAGCUCUUUUACCCGGGAUGAUAAUGACAGUACCGGGAGAAUAAGCUCCGGCUAACUCCGUGCCAGCAGCCGCGGUAAUACGGAGGGAGCUAGCGUUAUUCGGAAUUACUGGGCGUAAAGCGCACGUAGGCGGCUUUGUAAGUAAGAGGUGAAAGCCCAGAGCUCAACUCUGGAAUUGCCUUUUAGACUGCAUCGCUUGAAUCAUGGAGAGGUCAGUGGAAUUCCGAGUGUAGAGGUGAAAUUCGUAGAUAUUCGGAAGAACACCAGUGGCGAAGGCGGCUGACUGGACAUGUAUUGACGCUGAGGUGCGAAAGCGUGGGGAGCAAACAGGAUUAGAUACCCCUG
This 415-nucleotide ribosomal RNA is filed under the name uncultured Sphingomonas sp. RNAcentral describes it as "bacterial SSU rRNA". It matches the Rfam family "Bacterial small subunit ribosomal RNA", at positions 358 to 789 of the family's 1533-position model. The record is from RNAcentral. Lineage: Bacteria; Pseudomonadati; Pseudomonadota; Alphaproteobacteria; Sphingomonadales; Sphingomonadaceae.